GAUGAACGCUGGCGGCGUGCCUAAUACAUGCAAGUCGAGCGAACAGACGAGGAGCUUGCUCCUCUGACGUUAGCGGCGGACGGGUGAGUAACACGUGGAUAACCUACCUAUAAGACUGGGAUAACUUCGGGAAACCGGAGCUAAUACCGGAGAAUAUAUUGAACCGCAUGGUUCAAUAGUGAAUGACGGUUUUGCUGUCACUUAUAGAUGGAUCCGCGCCGCAUUAGCUAGUUGGUAAGGUAACGGCUUACCAAGGCAACGAUGCGUAGCCGACCUGAGAGGGUGAUCGGCCACACUGGAACUGAGACACGGUCCAGACUCCUACGGGAGGCAGCAGUAGGGAAUCUUCCGCAAUGGGCGAAAGCCUGACGGAGCAACGCCGCGUGAGUGAUGAAGGUCUUCGGAUCGUAAAACUCUGUUAUUAGGGAAGAACAAAUGUGUAAGUAACUAUGCACGUCUUGACGGUACCUAAUCAGAAAGCCACGGCUAACUACGUG
RNAcentral lists this ribosomal RNA (497 nucleotides) under uncultured bacterium. RNAcentral describes it as "partial 16S ribosomal RNA". It matches the Rfam family "Bacterial small subunit ribosomal RNA", at positions 28 to 507 of the family's 1533-position model. The record is from RNAcentral.